CUGACCCGGGGACGGUCACGCUUCGGUGCCACUUGCUCGUUGUCCGAGUCUCAAACGGCGCCUCCGUCUGCCCGUGACACGGAGUUGGUUUUGCCGGCUCCUACGUGAAGACAAGGCCCUCUGGACACCUGCCUGGCUUCCCCAAGACACAGUCCGGGCGGCGGAACCAGAACUGCAAGCUGAGCGCUGAGACUUCUAGAGUGCUAACAUGGCCAUGCGCACCGCCGCCUCCAGCACAGGCCGGGGUGGGGAAGCCGCCACUCGCACGGCCCCAAGUGCGGCGCCGUUCUCAGCCCCAGGCUCGGUGGCUCUGGUCACCUUGGGAAGCGGACGUGCCGAUCUCCUCAGCCGGGAUGCGCUCCUCCGGCCCCACGCUGGGGCCCAGGCCGCGCAUCCCGCAUCCCGCGCUCUCGGCCUUUGAGCACCCGCAGAGCAUAGGCCGGGUCUCUGCCGCCUGGACCUCUUGGGGAACAAAGGCGCCCGAGUCCACAGCUCCAGCGAUGACAGACAGGGAUGAAAAGGACCAUUUAAAAAAGACCAUCUGGACCUUGUUCUGGGAGGCUGAGGCAGGAGGUUCAUGACUUCAAGCCCAGGCUGGGCAACUUAGCGAGACCUUGUCUCCAAAAAAUAAAUAAAUAAACAAAAGACUGGGGGCGUAGCUCGAGGAGAAGCCCCCGGGUUCAGUCCUCUGCGGGAUGCCACACCCUCUUCCUGACCUGGCCCGGCUGGCUCCUCAUCCCUGGUUCCUUCGUCCUGGCAAGUGUCACCCCGCAGGGACCCUGACUACAUACUGGGGGGUGCACCACCCCCCAGUGACCUCAGCUGUCCUCCACCAUUGCUCCUUCAGGAUAACUGCUCCUCCCAUCCAAUACCCCGGGAGGACGUGGCCAUUGUCUGUGGCCACUGUGACAGUGACCACAGCCUGAGUGGCUUCAAACAGCCCCUGCAAUAGCUCACUGUCCUGUACUCAAAGUCUGGCACGCACCUCAGCGGGCUAAGACCCAGGUCUCUGCAAGGCCCUGCUCCUUGCUGGGGACCCUGGUGGGAAGUUCCUGUCCACCCACAACGGUUCGUGAACUGCUUCCUCCAACCUCAAAGCAGCCCCGGGCAGGCCCGAUGGCACACACCUAUAAUCCCCGAACUGGGGAGGCUGAGGCAGGAGGCCAGCCUGGGCCCCGUGGUGAGUUCAAGGUCAGCUUGGAGAACAGAGCAGGACUCUGUCUCAAAAAAAAAUCAGGCCAGCUCUUGCCUGGACCCUUCUUCCAAGUCAGACCCCUCCAAGCUCAGGCCCCACACUUCUGCCCACACCCAGUGUCCACUCUGAAGGAAAUCGGUGUGGGCUUUGUCAGAAUCCAGUUGCUCACGGCCCCUUCCUUGAGCAAUUUCUUGCUGCACAGAAUAAGACUGGUUGGAGGGAGAUCUCGUGGACAUCGGAGAGGUGGAAAGGUUUGUGUCCAUCUCCCUUUCUUUCCAGGGAAGGCAGUUAAGCAGCUUGGUCAGGAGCAGACAGACUAACAAGUUACAGCAUUCCCGGCCCAAUGACGGGAGGGAGACAGUCCAAGGCCGCUGAGCUCCUCACCACCCAGAGCAGUCUCACCCUCGAGUGGGGAGGUGACUCCCACAUCUUCCCUCAGCUCACCCACCCUGACCACCCAGCCACACUUUUGUGGCUUCUGCGGACAGUGGGGAGCCUGUUUGUCCACAGGGACAGACAAGUCACUGAAACGAUUCCUCACCUGUGCACCGCCUGGCAGGCAAGCCGCUUUUCCAGCUUGUCCAACCAGAAAGCAGAGCCCCAGCACAUUCAAAAGGACAUGCAUCGGUUUUCCAAAAGAAAGCAACUGUGCUUCUCUGUAUGAGUGUGCACCCUUGGUGUAAUUUCUGGGGUGUCCCCCAGCAGUGUCCUACAGACCCCUCCUGAUCCCGACCUCACUGUCAUUCAAGGCCCAACUCACAUGCCUCCAUUAAACCUUUUCUGAUGGCCCCCACUUGGACCUCUCGCUCCUCAGUUCCUUAGAAUUGGUUAUCUCUACCACCAGUGCCCAAGCCCAGCUGACCACCAGAAUUCCCAGCUAAGGACCACAGGGCCACUCUGCAGAAGCCAGCACCCCAGCGUCUCCAUGGCUCAACACGGCAAAGUUGCUUUGUCAAGGAUUCGAAGGCCCUCGCAGGUGGCAGCUGACCAGAGCCACUGGCUUCCAUGCAGCAACUUAAGACCCAGGCUGAUGCCGAGCUGUCUCGGGCCUCCUGGACCUCACAGUGGGGGCCGAGCACGCUGCGGGGCUUACCUUGGCAACUCAGUGCUUCAUCCAGAAGUGAUAUGACUGCUCUCUUACCCCUGAUCAGAACUAGGUGUGCAGCAGAGCUGCUGCACGGUGUUGGAAAACACGAUUCUCCCACAGAAUAAGAAGAACCCCAGAGACGGUGAGUCUCCUCCACACCUAACGUCCUAGAAGUCACAGGAUCCUAUGCAAUCACAGGGACCCACAAACCUCCAGGGGUCUCAGAAACCUCACACAGGUGAGGACUCUUACGCCAUCCACUCUUACUGCCCAGUAUUUUUCUUUUUAUGUUUGUACAUGCAAGUUCCCCAAGGGUAAAUAGUGCACUUCCGGUUUAACUCAGGAGGUGUUUGUUAGAAUAUACCACAGACAGAACCUGAACCUAACGGUGGACUUUGACUCGAUGUUGAACACCUGCCUGAACACAGAACCUGGACAUGGGUUUGUCAUUCAGAACCACGCGUUCUUACCUCACUUAUGCCACCUGACAGGCUCUGGAGUGGACAGCAUGAGUGCACCGUGAUGUUUGGCGAGAUUUCUGCUCCUCGGCACCUUGAAAGAAGAGCUCUGUCAAAUCUCCGUUAAACGCCGAGUCGGGCCCCUGCCCAGCAACCCUAAGGAGGAAGCCGAAUUUUUUUCAAUAAACUGCAAAUUGGCCUCCGUGGGAAACAUGUCACCGCCAUUUCACCAGAGUGUUCAUUCAGGUGUUCUGUCUAAAUUGAGACUUUUGGGCACUAAUAAUAAUUAACUACUUUCUUAGCAGUGAAAAAAGUCUUAAAUGCCUAUUUACUUAAUGGUCCCCUAGGGUGUCUUUGUUUUGAAUGGGAUUAAAAAAAAAAAAAAAAAUCUUAGCUGCAAAAUAAGCAGGUGAUUCUAAUCAAUAAAGCCAGAGGACUAUAUUGAU
Molecule: long non-coding RNA, 3186 nt
Organism: Heterocephalus glaber (naked mole-rat)
Lineage: Eukaryota; Metazoa; Chordata; Mammalia; Rodentia; Bathyergidae
Source: RefSeq, a predicted model, not a curated record